UACGGAGGGGGCUAGCGUUGUCCGGAAUUACUGGGCGUAAAGCGCACGUAGGCGGCUUUGUAAGUUAGAGGUGAAAGCCCAGGGCUUAACCCUGGAAUUGCCUUUAAAACUGCAUCGCUAGAAUUGUGGAGAGGUAAGUGGAAUUCCGAGUGUAGAGGUGAAAUUCGUAGAUAUUCGGAAGAACACCAGUGGCGAAGGCGACUUACUGGACACAUAUUGACGCUGAGGUGCGAAAGCGUGGGGAGCAAACAGG
RNAcentral lists this ribosomal RNA (253 nucleotides) under uncultured bacterium. Its description in RNAcentral is "partial 16S ribosomal RNA". It matches the Rfam family "Bacterial small subunit ribosomal RNA", at positions 524 to 776 of the family's 1533-position model. The record is from RNAcentral.